This 645-nucleotide ribosomal RNA is filed under the name Salmonella enterica subsp. enterica. RNAcentral describes it as "bacterial LSU rRNA". It matches the Rfam family "Bacterial large subunit ribosomal RNA", at positions 1223 to 1850 of the family's 2925-position model. Lineage: Bacteria; Pseudomonadati; Pseudomonadota; Gammaproteobacteria; Enterobacterales; Enterobacteriaceae. The record is from RNAcentral.
GUUGGGUAGGGGAGCGUUCUGUAAGCCUGUGAAGGUGUGUCGUGAGGCAUGCUGGAGGUAUCAGAAGUGCGAAUGCUGACAUAAGUAACGAUAAAGCGGGUGAAAAGCCCGCUCGCCGGAAGACCAAGGGUUCCUGUCCAACGUUAAUCGGGGCAGGGUGAGUCGACCCCUAAGGCGAGGCCGAAAGGCGUAGUCGAUGGGAAACGGGUUAAUAUUCCCGUACUUGGUGUUACUGCGAAGGGGGGACGGAGAAGGCUAUGUUGGCCGGGCGACGGUUGUCCCGGUUUAAGCGUGUAGGUGUGUGUUCCAGGUAAAUCCGGUUCACUUUAACACUGAGGCGUGACGACGAGGCACUACGGUGCUGAAGCAACAAAUGCCCUGCUUCCAGGAAAAGCCUCUAAGCAUCAGGUAACAUCAAAUCGUACCCCAAACCGACACAGGUGGUCAGGUAGAGAAUACCAAGGCGCUUGAGAGAACUCGGGUGAAGGAACUAGGCAAAAUGGUGCCGUAACUUCGGGAGAAGGCACGCUGACACGUAGGUGAAGUGAUUUACUCAUGGAGCUGAAGUCAGUCGAAGAUACCAGCUGGCUGCAACUGUUUAUUAAAAACACAGCACUGUGCAAACACGAAAGUGGACGUAUACGG